Non-coding RNA from Odocoileus virginianus texanus, 1400 nucleotides. The record is from RefSeq and is a predicted model, not a curated record. NCBI's taxonomy places the organism in Eukaryota, Metazoa, Chordata, Mammalia, Artiodactyla, Cervidae.
AUGCCAUCUGGAAAAAGAAGACAAAAGAUGGAAACCUCUUAAGAUGAAAGAAAUGGUUCCCUUAGGGAAUUUGAACCUGAAAGAGACCAUUUUAAACUAGAGAAGUAGAAUGACCUCCAGUUGUCAAGUUUACAUUUUCUCCAUCUGCAGAAAUGGGGACUCUAGAGCUAAAUGAGCUUUCUUUCCUCUGGGCGCACAGUAGGACUGCACUUCCCUGCCCGCUUGAAGAUACACACAGCCACGUGACUUGCCUUGGCCAAUGGCAUGUGAGCAGAAGUGACACUUCAGUAAAAGUGAGGAUUGUCUUUCUGGGGCUGAUUAGACGAGAACUGCAAGCAGACACUGGCUGUGACAGAAGAGUGUGAAAGGAUUUGAAAGAGGCCACCUGGGAUCUUAUUGGGUUUAAAUUGUACAAUAAACCUGACACAGUGUGUCUAAACUCAGGAUGGUUUCAUCAUAUUCUGUGUAAUUGACACCAGAAAGAAUCCUAUCUCAUACAGCUGAGAUUAGUCCUAUUAUUGCCUGGAAUAUGAGCCUCCUUCACAAUGGGCAAAUGUCAUCAGCUGCCAUGCUGGGAAGACCCUCAGACAUCCUAUGGAGAGAUCCACAUGGUGGGGAGGAGAGGCCUGCCAACAACCAUCUGUGUGAACUUGGAGGUGAAUCUUCUGAGGACUGCCAACGUGAAUAAAUUUGAAAGUGGAUCUUUGACACCUAAGUGGAGCCUUCCCGUUAAACUGCAGCCGUGGAAAACAGCUUGACGGCAACCUCCUUAGAGAUUGAAGGGCAGUCAGAUUGCAGUGCAGAUCCCACCAUGUUGGUCCACCUGUAACUCUGCUCUUCAGGAUAGAAAAGUGUAUGUAUAUCAUGGUAGGUCAAAUAGUAGAAACCCCAAAAUGUCCACAUCCUAAUCCAUGGAACCUAUGAAUAUGUUAGGUCACAUGGUAAAAGGGAAAUUGCAGAUGUAAUUAAGGUUACAAACUUUAAAAUAGAGAGAUUAUUCUGGAUGAUCCAGUGGGCCCAGUCGAAUCACAUGAAGCCUUAAAAUCAGAGAACUUUCUCUGGCUGGAGGUAAGAGAGAUUUGGCAGAAGUCAAAGUUGGAGAGAUUUGAAGUGUGAGAGGAACCCCGCCACUGCUGUGCUGGGGAGAAUGUGUCCAGAAUAAGAUUGAAUAUGGGCAGCCUCUAGGGGCAAACACCAGCUCCCAGCAGACAGCCAGCAAGGACCUGGGAGGUCAGCCCUACAUCUGUCAGGAACUGAAUUCAGCCAAAAACCUGAACGAGCUUGGAAGCAAUUCAUCCAAAAUGUCUCCAGGAGGAAUGAAGUCCUGCUGAUACCUUCAUUUUGGCCUUGUGAAACCCAGAGCAGAGGAAUCAGUCCAGCCAACUGGGACUUUGGAUCUA